CCUACGUAAGUCCCAAGCAGCGCUCUCUCACCGUGUCCUGUUCCUCCACCGCAUCUCGUUUUUCACCUCCGCUCCCAACUCUGUUAUCCACGGCGCCCUUAUUCCCGUUUCCCACCGCGUCCUCCCUCUCUGUUCCUUCAUUGCACCCAGUUCUUCCAUGGCACCCCGUCCUCCACCGCGUCCUAUUCCUUCAUUAGGUCCCGUUCCCCAUCGCGCCCCUGUCCCCUGUUCCUAACGCAAUCCGUUCACAAGUGCAGCAUUAAAACUAUAAAAAUUGUAACAUCGCAAAAAAUAUGUACUGCAACAUCAAAAAAUAUGUACUGCAACAUCGUAAAAAUAUGUAGUGCAACAUCAAAAAAACAUGUACUGCAACAUCGAAAAAAUAUGUACUGCAACAUCAAAAAUUAUAUGCUGCA
Molecule: long non-coding RNA, 416 nt
Filed under: Sorghum bicolor (sorghum)
Lineage: Eukaryota; Viridiplantae; Streptophyta; Magnoliopsida; Poales; Poaceae
Description: long non-coding RNA (SBIC_LNC015356)
Source: RNAcentral